AAAAAGUGGUGGAUUUGUGGGCACAUCUAUUGAACGUCGGGGAGAAGAAACGAGGUUCUAGCUCUAUUUCAAGAUAUUUUGUUCCCAUGCCACACAUGAUGUUGUUGUACCUUUCACUCAAUUCUUAUGAUGAAUUCUGCAAAUUAUUAGAACAAGAUCUCCCUUCUGCAAAUAUUGAUAUCACAAAAGUACAACUUAUGUGUUUCACAAUUCAAGACCCUCGUUGUCCAUACAUGUUCUAUUUCAACUUUCAACGACAAACAAUGGACAUCAUCGCAGUAACAAGUCUAAAUCCAGAGACUUUUAGUGAAGCAAAAACACUGG
Molecule: long non-coding RNA, 324 nt
Organism: Spinacia oleracea (spinach)
Lineage: Eukaryota; Viridiplantae; Streptophyta; Magnoliopsida; Caryophyllales; Amaranthaceae
Exons: 3
Source: RefSeq, a predicted model, not a curated record